This 277-nucleotide ribosomal RNA is filed under the name uncultured Prevotella sp. Its description in RNAcentral is "partial 16S ribosomal RNA". It matches the Rfam family "Bacterial small subunit ribosomal RNA", at positions 79 to 354 of the family's 1533-position model. The record is from RNAcentral. Lineage: Bacteria; Pseudomonadati; Bacteroidota; Bacteroidia; Bacteroidales; Prevotellaceae.
CUUUCCUUGAUGACGACUGGCGCACGGGUGAGUAACGCGUAUCCAACCUUCCCAUAACUACGGGAUAACCCGUUGAAAGACGGCCUAAUACCGUAUGAUAUCGUUUGCUGACAUCAAAUAACGAUUAAAGGUUUAGCGGUUAUGGAUGGGGAUGCGUCUGAUUAGCUUGUUGGCGGGGUAACGGCCCACCAAGGCUACGAUCAGUAGGGGUUCUGAGAGGAAGGUCCCCCACAUUGGAACUGAGACACGGUCCAAACUCCUACGGGAGGCAGCAGGC